This 446-nucleotide ribosomal RNA is filed under the name uncultured bacterium. RNAcentral describes it as "partial 16S ribosomal RNA". It matches the Rfam family "Bacterial small subunit ribosomal RNA", at positions 338 to 795 of the family's 1533-position model. The record is from RNAcentral.
CCUACGGGCGGCUGCAGUCGAGAAUUAUUCACAAUGGGGGAAACCCUGAUGGUGCGACGCCGCGUGGGGGAUUGAAGGUCUUCGGAUUGUAAACCCCUGUCAUGUGGGAGCAAAUUAAAAAGAUAGUACCAUUAGAGGAAGAGAGGGCCAACUCUGUGCCAGCAGCCGCGGUAAUACAGAGGUCUCAAGCGUUGUUCGGAAUCACUGGGCGUAAAGCGUGCGUAGGCUGUUUCGUAAGUCGGGGGUUAAAGGUGCGGGCUGAACCCGCGGACUGCACAUGAUACUGCGAGACUAGAGUAAUGGAGGGGGAACCGGAAUUCUCGGUGUAGCAGUGAAAUGCGUAGAUAUCGAGAAGAACACUCAUGGCGAAGGCAGGUUCCUGGACCUUAACUGACGCUGAGGCACGAAGGCCAGGGGAGCAAAAGGGAUUAGAUACCCUGGUAGUC